ACGCUAGUACCUUGCCCCAAAACCCUAGUCCCCAGAGGCCCCAUCGCCUAAGUGUCGGAGUGUCUGGAAACGCUACAACCUGUAGCAGCUCGGAUUCGAUGCGUGCUGUUUCUCUGCAGGGCAACAUUAUGAAGACGGCAACUGCAACUCUCCAACAACAACAAAGGUAUGUUUUCCUAUUCCUCUUAGUAGAUCAGAUCUACUCGUCAUCAAGAUUUUACUUUCAGUUACAGAUUGGUUUUCUAAGGACUUAGGAAUCGAUCCUAGACAGUAUAGAUUCUAACAGUAUCAAGUCUACGUACGUCAUGGCUGAGAACUAAUAAAACCAUUCUUUUAUAGAAAAAAGGGAACAACCACUAGUAGCUAGUGGUGGUUGCUUAGAAUAUUCCACGCGUGCUAGCAGAAAACUAAUGGUGUGUUUGGUUUAUGUAGUCAUUCAAUGCAUCAUAAAUUUAUUCCAUCAAUUUUGGUGAAAUCAACCAACUCCCCAUGUAUACACUAAUUAUUAGCUUAUGAGGAAUGAGGUGGUGAUGGAUCAACUCAUUCUAUUCAACAAACCAAAUAAAAAUGGGAGGAGUGAGAAAAAGAUGGAUCACUUCAUUCCUCAAACCAAACACGCCCUAAAACACCCUAAGGGCGCGUUCGUUUUCAGCUGAUCAGCCCAUUCCAGGCCUUAUCCGGGUGGAACCAAUGGGCCUGGUUUAGAAUUUGGUAUAACUCUUUGAAACCGUUCGUUUUGGCCCGAAUUGAAAUCGAAACUGGCCCGAAUUGAAAUUUCCCUUCACUCCACAACCCGGAACCAACCCCUGUGUCGUAGCCUCCGGAUCGAAGCCUGGACGACGCGACCAACGCGGCGGACGCGACCGGCGCGACGGCGGCUUUGACGCGACCGGCACGGCGGCGGCGCACAACCCUGACGACGACCCUCCCCGCUGCCUUCUCCCCGGUGAGGAUCUAGAUAUGCUCUCUUCUUACCCUCGAUCUCGAUCUCGCUCCUCGACACUGCGACUCCGCUCCUGUCCUCGUUGGGGUCAUCACAAGUUGCCUGGCCGCCGGCCCCGUUGACGGCAGCGGCUGCCCCUGCCGUCGUUGCGUCGUUGUUGGCCGGCUGCUCGGCAGGAUCUGUUGGUUCGUGCGCCCUCUCACUCUCGCGCGCGAUCUGCUGGUCCGUGCAUGUUACUGUGUGUUACUGCUUGUUACUAUCGCUCUGCAAGAACUGCGUGCUAUUGCUUGCUGCUAGCUAGUAUCAUUGCCCAGCCUCUCAAGUUCUUGUUCAGAAACCUUCACUUCUGCUUGUAUAUAUCAAGUCCCUGCGAAUGUUUUUGAAUUGAUUGCCUGCCUGAAACGACUGAAUUCGGACAUGCAUGACACUUCUGUUUAAUAUUGCAUCCUGAGCUGAAUGUUCUAUAUAUCUGUUUCAUUAUUUGGUUACAUUCAGAUAAAAAGAAGCAAGGCUAGCUCUGUGCCUGUCUCUAGCAUUCGAAUUCCGAUUUGGGCAUCUAGAAAAUUCGAUUCCCGCUGAAUUUAUCGCAAAUUAUAGAUUUCGAUGAAACUAAAUCUUGCACUUAAUUAUCACCAUGCAUGCAAUGGAUCAGGGUCUUAUCUUGCUCUUACGUACUUUGGGUAUAAAUUUCAGUUCCAGACUAUGUUUGUUUUCCAGUUUGAAAUGAACAGGCGAGUAGAAUUGCAUGGCCUCAAUAUAUCCUGUAUCUUUCAGUACAUGAGUUGGCAGCAAAUCUUGUGUUCAAACUGAAAGGAGAUGUGUUCCAUUACGCUGAUUUUAGCAUAUAGUUUUGUGAACGUAGGGUGGGUGUCUGGUCACCGGAAUUCCUUGCAGAAUGACAUGAAAACUAGAUUCAUUUGUCCUGCGUAGAUUUAUUUAUCCCGAUUCAUUUGUGUGCCUAGAUUCAUGUGUUUUCUUCAAGAAUUUAGUAUAUACUUUAUGAUCAUGUAUGCCAGCUAUUUAUUUGAGCUGUUACAUAUAGAUCCCUACAACACCAAUUAUAGUUGGGGAAGGUGAACCUCCUCCCUCUUGGGAUCCGGUACCAACUCCAAAAGGUAUUAAAUUCUUUGUACGUAUAUAUGGUUUACUUUAGUCCUUGUUACUUGUACUUUUGAAGCGAUACAUGAUUUGCUUUAAUUCUAUUUUAUUAUUUAACUUCUACCUGACAAUACAUCUAUAUUAUUUAGUUCUACAAUGAGUAUCUCAUUGCGGGAUCGUAUUAGAAAGAGGAGGGAAGAAGAAGAUGAUGACAUGAUGAUAUUUAUUUUCCCCGCCUUAUAUCUAAUGGGUUCUACUAGAGGUGGGGGACAAAAGAAGAAACGUCAUACCUCAAAUGAGACAGGCGAGGUUAAGGUUCGUCGACUCCUCGAGGGACAUGUCAAGAACUGUCAAGUUACAUUUCGGAUGGAACCACAUAUCUUCAGAGAGCUUGCAACUUAUCUUAGAAGGAGAAGGAUCAUUGUUGAUACAAGGAUCACGGUCGAGGAGAAGUUGGGGUUCUUCUUAUACAUGCUAAGUCGCAACGCCUCAUAUCAGGAUCUCCAAGUGUAUUUUGGGCACAGUAAUGACACCUUCCAUCAUCACAUCAACCACUUCUUCAAUAAGGUCAUUCCUGUCCUAUCUCGUCGCUUCAUUCAGCCUCCUGAUCCUAAUCAAGUGCAUCAAAAAAUCCAAGAUAAUCCUAGAUUCUAUCCAUUCUUUAAGAAUUGUCUUGGUGCCAUUGAUGGAACUCACAUUCCUAUUUCCAUAUCUCCCGAUAAACAUUCUCCUUUUCGAAAUCGGAAAGGAACACUAAGCAUAAAUGUGAUGGUGGCAUGUGAUUUCGAUCUCAAUAUCACUUUUGUUUCUAGUGGAUGGGAGGGAUCGGCCACAGAUUCUAGAGUGCUAAGAUCAGCUAUGAGCAAGGGUUUCCAGGUACCUCCAGGAAAAUUCUAUCUAGUUGAUGGAGGGUAUGCAAAUACUCCAUCUUUUCUUGCUCCAUACCGAGGAGCUCGGUACCACUUGAAGGAAUUUGGGGCUAGACAUCGAAGACCACAGAACCCGAAGGAGCUCUUCAACCAUCGCCACGCACUUCUGAGGAACCAUGUGGAAAGGGCUUUGGGGGUGCUUAAAAAGCGCUUCCCCAUUCUCAAAGUUGCCACGUUCCACACACUGGAAAACCAAGUAAAGAUACCUAUAGCUGCUGCCAUCUUCCAUAAUCUAAUUCGAUCACUUCAUGGUGAUGAAGAUUGGUUAGAUCAUCAGCCAGAUAAUAUUGAUCCAUCAAACUUUGUUGCUCUACCAAGUGGUGAUCAAAUGAGUGACCCAGGCACUACACAAGGCAAUGCUUUAAGAGAUACCAUCGCCCAAGAAAUGUGGGCUCAAUACCAACAACAUCUAAAUUAGUAUUUUCGUGGUUGAAUAAGUUGUAAUAAUUUAAAUUAGUAGUAUUGUAAAAUGUAAUACGUUUUUUCUUUAAAAAGCUAUGGUUGGAAAAGGCUCCCCAAGGUUCAACAUAGGUGGUUCCCCAAAGUUGCGUAGGUUCAUUCCUACAACAAGUGCUACUAAAAAGAAGACUUCUCCUAAAUGCAGUGGGGCAAAAAAGAGUGGAAGUUCUCCAAGAGGUAUUGUGUUCAAUGUUUCUUCAUGCUUUCUUGUAAGUUUUGUAUUACUGAUGCGUGACCAUUGUUUAUGUAGUAGUGAAACAAAGAGCGGAUUGGAAUCCAGGUCUUGAGAGGUCUCUUGUUGACAUUCUCCAUGAAUUUAAAGAAAGUGGAUAUAGAGGUGACAAUGGUUGGAACUCCGAAGGGUGGAAUAGAAUGGUCAAGGAGUUUCAUGUGAGGAACAAGUAUGUCUCCUUUACAAAGUCUCAAAUUCAGGAUAAAGAAGGUCAGCUGAAGAGAGACUACAAGAUGCUCAAAGCAGCAAAGCAACAGAGUGGGUCCACCUGGAAUGAGAAAAGGAAUAUGGUUGAAGGACCACCAGCUUUGUGGGAGAAUCUCAUGGUGGUAAGUUGAUUUAUUGAAAUUCAAUUAUUAAAUUAGUUAUGUAGGAUAACCUUAUAAUGAUAAUCUCGUAUUUGAUCAAUGUUUUUUUAAUUGUGCAGACAUUUCCUAAAAUCAAGAAGUUUAACAACAACAAGGCAACCUUCCCGCUCUUUGAUGCUUUGGGAGAGCUUUAUGAUGGUAAGUUUCCAAACAUCGUACUGAAAUAUAUAAUAUACUGAAAUAUAUAAUAUAUAUUUCUUUGUCAUUGUGUAGGACACUUGGCUGAAGGGACUUGGAAUUGCACUUCUCUUGAGGCACCGCAAGAGGAAGAACUGAAUGAGCAACUUCAGGAUGCAGAAGAUGGACCACAAGGAUUUGAUCUGAAUGUUGUUCAUGAUGUAGAUGAUGAAGUUGAUGAUGCACUCGCUGAAAGGAAUGAAGAUAUGCUUCAAGGAAGGACUAAUACUCUGUCACGAGAUGAAGAAAGUGGACAGCGAAGACCUGCUGCGUCAAGAAACAAGCAAGAAAAGGAACCAAAGAAGCCUAGAAAGACUGACAACAUAGAAAAUAUGAUGAACAAAUACCUAGAAAUGAGGAGCAAGCAAGUAGAAGAUGAAGCUGCAAGAGAAAAGGAAGCAAGAGAAAAGGAGACAAGAGAAAAGGAGGCAGCUCAAAGUGAAGAUUUCUCCAUCAAAAGGUGCAUAUCAGUUCUGAACACAAUGGAAGAAGUGACCAAAAUGGAGAAGGCAAAAGCAUAUUCAGUCUUCACCAAGAGCAAAGAGAAUAGAGAGACUUUCAUAUGUGCAUGUGAAGCGGAUCAAGAAUCAGCUUUGAUUUGGCUAAGAAAUGAGAUGGCUUAGUAGGUAUGAUAUUUGUGUCUUUACCUUCCACUCAACCAUAUUCACUUGGGCCUUUAUAUUCCAAUCUAAUUGUUCCAUUUGUUUGGACAGGUUUGGGUAAUCAAUCGGUGAUGCUUCCCCUUUGAGAACUUUCGGUAUGAGCCAGGAUAUUAGUGUGGCUUUAAUUAGUGCUUUUUGUCCUGAUCACUGAGAUUUCAGUCCAGUGUUAACUUCCGAUGAUUAUCUGUGCUCUCUAGCUGGUUCAUCCAGUUAUAUUGUAUAAAGAAAUUACUUCAUCUUAUAAUUAGGUUUGCAUAGGAAAGCAAUUAUUCUAUGCUUGCCAUAGAUCAACGAUAAGCAGACUGUGAUUUGGUACGUCAGCUGUUGGAAUGGAUGGCU
RNAcentral lists this long non-coding RNA (5207 nucleotides) under Zea mays. Its description in RNAcentral is "long non-coding RNA (ZMAY_LNC005126)". Lineage: Eukaryota; Viridiplantae; Streptophyta; Magnoliopsida; Poales; Poaceae. The record is from RNAcentral.